Molecule: ribosomal RNA, 521 nt
Filed under: uncultured bacterium
Lineage: Bacteria
Description: partial 16S ribosomal RNA
Rfam family: Bacterial small subunit ribosomal RNA
Source: RNAcentral
UGGGGAAUUUUGGACAAUGGGCGAAAGCCUGACCAGCAAUGCCGCGUGUGUGAAGAAGGCCCUCGGGUUGUAAAGCACUUUUGUCCGGAAAGAAAUCCUUGGCUCUAAUACAGUCGGGGGAUGACGGUACCGGAAGAAUAAGCACCGGCUAACUACGUGCCAGCAGCCGCGGUAAUACGUAGGGUGCAAGCGUUAAUCGGAAUUACUGGGCGUAAAGCGUGCGCAGGCGGUUUGCUAAGACCGAUGUGAAAUCCCCGGGCUCAACCUGGGAACUGCAUUGGUGACUGGCAGGCUAGAGUAUGGCAGAGGGGGGUAGAAUUCCACGUGUAGCAGUGAAAUGCGUAGAGAUGUGGAGGAAUACCGAUGGCGAAGGCAGCCCCCUGGGCCAAUACUGACGCUCAUGCACGAAAGCGUGGGGAGCAAACAGGAUUAGAUACCCUGGUAGUCCACGCCCUAAACGAUGUCAACUAGUUGUUGGGGAUUCAUUCCUUAGUAACGUAGCUAACGCGUGAAGUUGACCG